This 345-nucleotide ribosomal RNA is filed under the name Triticum aestivum (bread wheat). Its description in RNAcentral is "partial small subunit ribosomal RNA". Lineage: Eukaryota; Viridiplantae; Streptophyta; Magnoliopsida; Poales; Poaceae. The record is from RNAcentral.
AUGGCGCUGCUAACCAAUGUUUCUGUGGAUCGAAUGGAACAGCUCAAUGAGGGUUUUGCCCCUGGAUUGGACGUGCUUCAGCAAACUCUGCACACCAUCAAGAAGCUCGUUGAAGCGGCAGAAGAGUGGCCGCCGUUCGUUGCUAAUGCCCGAUACACCAUGGAGGAGAACCAGAGCCUGACAUUACAGCUCCAAGAGCUGACGGAGAAGCUUGACAAGGAGAGCAAUGCCAAGGCUCUUGUGGAGGAGGAGCUGGACAAGGAGAGGAAGGCCAAGGCUCUUGUGGAGGAGGAGGUUAGGAAGGCCAAGGCCACGUACAAGCAGCAGAGAGAUGUACAGCCAUAG